Engraulis encrasicolus (European anchovy) is the source of this 378-nucleotide long non-coding RNA. RefSeq lists it as uncharacterized. The transcript has 3 exons. NCBI's taxonomy places the organism in Eukaryota, Metazoa, Chordata, Actinopteri, Clupeiformes, Engraulidae. The record is from RefSeq and is a predicted model, not a curated record.
GCAGAAGGUCUGGAGGACUCACGGAGGGGCAGCAAGACCCAAAGCCAGGCCCAGGCAGAGACACAGCGUCUGGGGGAGAAGCUUCAUGAAGUUCUCUACUGGAGAAGAUGUCUUUCAAAGAAGGGUGUGGGGAUCUGAUGGUGCUUCCAGCUGAGCACACUACACUCUGCAGGGUAUUGCAAUCUCUGACUGCAGAGUUCCCAUACCAGGGCAAUCAGACUUACAGAAUAUAUUGGGUACAUUAUCACUGACAACUUGGAAGAAGAUGCUGACAUGCAAAGGCAGAGAUGAAUGUUGAAGCAGAGGAGUGUGCACAUCCCAGGGAAAGGUGCCGGACGAAGGUCAACUGUAGUUUUCAGAGUGAGGAGUACGCACACU